Non-coding RNA from Caenorhabditis elegans, 143 nucleotides. Lineage: Eukaryota; Metazoa; Nematoda; Chromadorea; Rhabditida; Rhabditidae. The record is from Ensembl.
UGAGUGCGCGCGCAGGUUCUCACACAACUGCGCGCCCUAGAAGGACAGCGUUGAAGCUGAAGGAAGCAGAAGGAGUAGAAGAAAGAGAAGAAGAAGGACUUGUGAGAAAACGGAAGAAGUAGGUGAAGAAGUAGAAGAAGUUG